AAGGAUUUAAGUUAAAUAAACUCUUAGCCUUCAAAGCUAACAAUAAAGUAAAUUCUUUAAGCCUUA
This 66-nucleotide transfer RNA is filed under the name Simianus niponicus. RNAcentral describes it as "tRNA-Trp". Lineage: Eukaryota; Metazoa; Arthropoda; Insecta; Coleoptera; Callirhipidae. The record is from RNAcentral.